Molecule: ribosomal RNA, 253 nt
Filed under: uncultured bacterium
Lineage: Bacteria
Description: partial 16S ribosomal RNA
Rfam family: Bacterial small subunit ribosomal RNA
Source: RNAcentral
UACGAAGGGGGCUAGCGUUGCUCGGAAUCACUGGGCGUAAAGGGUGCGUAGGCGGGUCUUUAAGUCAGGGGUGAAAUCCUGGAGCUCAACUCCAGAACUGCCUUUGAUACUGGCGAUCUUGAGUCCGGGAGAGGUGAGUGGAACUGCGAGUGUAGAGGUGAAAUUCGUAGAUAUUCGCAAGAACCCCAGUGGCGAAGGCGGCUCACUGGCCCGGUACUGACGCUGAGGUGCGAAAGCGUGGGGAGCAAACAGG